Molecule: non-coding RNA, 30 nt
Filed under: Homo sapiens (human)
Lineage: Eukaryota; Metazoa; Chordata; Mammalia; Primates; Hominidae
Source: RNAcentral
UGCCAAGAAGGACUAUGAAUGGAGCUUUGC